GACAGGAACCCUUAUCUUUCUGAGGGUACAAGACAGGCUGCUGCUACUACCGCUGCAUUAGCGAAGAAAUAUGGGGCUGACAUCACUGUUGUAGUUAUUGAUGAAAAGCAGAAAGAAUCAUUUCCAGAGCAUGAAACCCAAAUGUCUAGCAUUCGCUGGCAUCUCUCUGAAGGUGGAUUCCAAGAAUUCAACUUGUUGGAGCGGCUCGGUGAAGGGAACAAGCCCACCGCCAUCAUUGGUGAUGUUGCUGAUGACCUAAACUUAGAUUUGGUAGUAAUAAGCAUGGAAGCAAUUCAUUCCAAGCAUGUGGAUGCCAACUUACUGGCUGAGUUCAUUCCUUGCCCUGUCUUACUUUUACCAUUGUAGAUUCCA
This 372-nucleotide unclassified non-coding RNA is filed under the name Hevea brasiliensis (rubber tree). The record is from RNAcentral. Lineage: Eukaryota; Viridiplantae; Streptophyta; Magnoliopsida; Malpighiales; Euphorbiaceae.